AGAGUUUGAUCCUGGCUCAGAAUCAACGCUGGCGGCGUGCCUCAGACAUGCAAGUCGAACGCGAAAGUCCCCUUCGGGGGGCAAGUAGAGUGGCGCACGGGUGAGUAACACGUAGGUAAUCUACCUUUGGAUGGGGAAUAACCACCGGAAACGGUGGCUAAUACCGCAUAAUGCAGCGGCACCUAAUGGUGACAGUUGUUAAAGCGGGGGAUCGUAAGACCUCGCGUCUGAAGAGGAGCCUGCGGCGGAUUAGCUAGUUGGUAGGGUAACGGCUUACCAAGGCAAUGAUCCGUAGCCGGCCUGAGAGGGCGGUCGGCCACACUGACACUGACAUACGGGUCAGACUCCUACGGGAGGCAGCAGUCGGGAAUUUUGGGCAAUGGGCGAAAGCCUGACCCAGCAACGCCGCGUGAAGGAUGAAAUCCCUCGGGAUGUAAACUUCGCAAGAACGGGAAGAAUAAGUAAGGGUUAAUAUCUCUUACGAUGACGGUACUGUUUGUAAGCUCCGGCUAACUCCGUGCCAGCAGCCGCGGUAAUACGGGGGGAGCAAGCGUUGUUCGGAUUUACUGGGCGUAAAGGGCGCGUAGGCGGGCCACCGCAAGUCGACUGUGAAAUCUCCGGGCUUAACCCGGAAAGGUCAGCCGAUACUGCGGGGCUAGAGUGCAGAAGGGGCAACUGGAAUUCUCGGUGUAGCGGUGAAAUGCGUAGAUAUCGAGAGGAACACCUGCGGCGAAGGCGGCAUCCUGGACCGACAUUGACGCUGAACGGCGAAAGCUAGGGGAGCAAACGGGAUUAGAUACCCCGGUAGUCCUAGCCCUAAACGAUGAAUGUUUGGUGUGGCGGGUAUCGAUCCCUGCCGUGCCGAAGCUAACGCAUUAAACAUUCCGCCUGGGGAGUACGGUCGCAAGGCUGAAACUCAAAGGAAUUGACGGGGGCCCGCACAAGCGGUGGAGCAUGUGGUUCAAUUCGACGCAACGCGAAGAACCUUACCCAGGCUCGAACGGCAAUUGACACCCGGUGAAAGCCGGCUCCCGCAAGGGCAAUUGUCGAGGUGCUGCAUGGCUGUCGUCAGCUCGUGUCGUGAGAUGUUGGGUUAAGUCCCGCAACGAGCGCAACCCUUGUCCGCUGUUGCCAUCAGGUUAAGCUGGGCACUCUGCGGAGACUGCCGGUGAUAAACCGGAGGAAGGUGGGGAUGACGUCAAGUCAGCAUGGCCUUUAUGUCUGGGGCUACACACGUGCUACAAUGGCCGGUACAAACCGUCGCGAUACCGCAAGGUGGAGCUAAUCGGAGAAAGCCGGUCUCAGUUCGGAUUGCAGGCUGCAACUCGCCUGCAUGAAGUUGGAAUCGCUAGUAAUCGCGGAUCAGCACGCCGCGGCGAAUACGUUCCCGGGCCUUGUACACACCGCCCGUCACAUCACGAAAGCUGGCUGUACUAGAAGUCGCCGCGCUAACCCGCAAGGGAGGUAAGCGCCUAAGGUAUGGUUAGUGAUUGGGGUGAAGUCGUAACAAGGUAACCGU
Molecule: ribosomal RNA, 1519 nt
Filed under: uncultured bacterium
Lineage: Bacteria
Description: bacterial SSU rRNA
Rfam family: Bacterial small subunit ribosomal RNA
Source: RNAcentral